This 305-nucleotide ribosomal RNA is filed under the name uncultured bacterium. RNAcentral describes it as "bacterial SSU rRNA". It matches the Rfam family "Bacterial small subunit ribosomal RNA", at positions 335 to 637 of the family's 1533-position model. The record is from RNAcentral.
GAUCCUACGGGAGGCAGCAGUGAGGAAUAUUGGUCAAUGGCCGAAGGGCUGAACCAGCCAAGCCGCGUGAAGGAAUAAGGCCCUACGGGUCGUAAACUUCUUUAGUCAGGGAACAAAGGGUGCCACGUGUGGCGCUGUGAGUGUACCUGAAGAAUAAGCAUCGGCUAACUCCGUGCCAGCAGCCGCGGUAAUACGGAAGGUCCGGGCGUUAUCCGGAUUUAUUGGGUUUAAAGGGAGCGUAGGCCGGCUUUUAAGUCAGCUGUGAAAGUCCGCGGCUCAACCGUGGAAUUGCAGUUGAAACUGGG